GUGGGGAAUAUUGGACAAUGGGCGCAAGCCUGAUCCAGCCAUGCCGAGUGAGUGAUGAAGGCCCUAGGGUUGUAAAGCUCUUUCAACGGUGAAGAUAAUGACGGUAACCGGAGAAGAAGCCCCGGCUAACUUCGUGCCAGCAGCCGCGGUAAUACGAAGGGGGCUAGCGUUGUUCGGAAUUACUGGGCGUAAAGCGCACGUAGGCGGGUAUUUAAGUCAGGGGUGAAAUCCCGGAGCUCAACUCCGGAACUGCCUUUGAUACUGGGUACCUAGAGUAUGGAAGAGGUAAGUGGAAUUCCGAGUGUAGAGGUGAAAUUCGUAGAUAUUCGGAGGAACACCAGUGGCGAAGGCGGCUUACUGGUCCAUUACUGACGCUGAGGUGCGAAAGCGUGGGGAGCAAACAGGAUUAGAUACCCGGGUAGUCC
RNAcentral lists this ribosomal RNA (425 nucleotides) under uncultured bacterium. RNAcentral's name for it is "bacterial SSU rRNA". It matches the Rfam family "Bacterial small subunit ribosomal RNA", at positions 354 to 796 of the family's 1533-position model. The record is from RNAcentral.